Molecule: long non-coding RNA, 617 nt
Filed under: Stegodyphus dumicola
Lineage: Eukaryota; Metazoa; Arthropoda; Arachnida; Araneae; Eresidae
Description: uncharacterized LOC118180315, transcript variant X4
Source: RNAcentral
GAACGGAGAAAUAGUGCAGAGCAAAAAGACAUCUGUGGCUGUGUAAUUUGUCAUCAUUUUUGUGUGCACUCUUGGAUUGCAGAACAUGAUAUCAUGAAAGAAAAAGAACGGAGAAAUAGUGCAGAGCAAAAAGACAUCUGUGGCUGUGUAAUUUGUCAUCAUUUUUGUGCACUCUUGGAUUGCAGAACAUGAUAUCGUGAAAGAAAAAGAACGGAGAAAUAGUGCAGAGCAAAAAGACAUCUGUGGCUGUGUAAUUUGUCAUCAUUUUUGUGCACUCUUGGAUUGCAGAACAUGAUAUCAUGAAAGAAAAAGAACGGAGAAAUAGUGCAGAGCAAAAAGACAUCUGUGGCUGUGUAAUUUGUCAUCAUUUUUGUGCACUCUUGGAUUGCAGAACAUGAUAUCAUGAAAGAAAAAGAACGGAGAAAUAAUGCAGAGCAAAAAGACAUCUGUGGCUGGUAAUUCUUGUUUUAUAUUAACUUUAUUUCCACUAGAAAUGCUUGAAUGUUAUAAUUUGUACGUCCCUUUUCACAUGUUGCUUUAUAUUGGAGUUUUACUAGUUAUUUAUUUUACAUGAACGCUUCACAUUAUGUUUUAAUGUUUAGGGUAGCAUUUAUGCG